This 183-nucleotide ribosomal RNA is filed under the name Triticum aestivum (bread wheat). RNAcentral describes it as "partial small subunit ribosomal RNA". Lineage: Eukaryota; Viridiplantae; Streptophyta; Magnoliopsida; Poales; Poaceae. The record is from RNAcentral.
AUGCAAUUGGUUUCUGGGGGGCACACGGCUGUGGCUGUCAAUGGCCAAAUUAGCCAGUUUUUUGCUAAUGGCAGGGGCCUCAGGCAAGGGGAUCCAGCGUCCCCUUUACUCUUCAACUUUGUGGCUGAUGCUCUAUCUCGCAUUCUCUCUCGAGCUGCCUUGGCUGGUCAUAUCACUCCGGUG